UUAGGCUGGAAGGGACAACCUCAGUGUCUGGGAGGAGAUACCUACUGCAGGCUCAGAUCUGGGGAGAAUGGUCAAAGUCAGUUUCUUGAAGGAACUGCCUCUGAGGAACUCACGCCUGGAGAGGGUGGGCAAGGUCCAUCUGGGAAGAAAGGCUUUUGAGAUAUUGUUCCAGCAGGGAGUAAGAGGCAAAGAAAGAAACGUGCUCACGGGUGGCUGAUCAAAUGUUGCUGUCUCUGUGAGACUGUCAGGGCAGAAGGGGAGGCUGGAGGACCUCAGCCUCGCAGAGACUCUGGAUGCACACCUCUGAGGAAGGAUGGCCAAGGCAAGUCUGAUUAGGAGACUCCUUUGGGAACUCAGCCCUAGGGAGAAUGAGCAAGGGAAAAGUCAUGUGCUGCUCAAAGGGAGUUAGAUCAAACAACUGCUACUGUGCCUGGAAGGUUGAAAGGAUGACCUUGCAUAGGUAAAGGUAAUUAAGAAGACUGCAAAAGUAUUGAACAAAGUACUGAACAUCCUUCAGGUUCAAUUGAAUACACAUAGAUGAAUUUUUAAAAAUAUUUUUUCUUUCUUUUUUUCUGGGAUCUACAGGCUUUUAUUACAUUUCAGUAAUAAGUUCAAAAUUGGAUUACUUAUUUUACAUGUAAAAUUGUGUUAAUAAUCAUAAAUAAAAAUUUAAGUAGCAUUUAUUUCCUAUUUUGAAGUCUCUGUCUGGUCAUAUUAAGAGACAGAAGCGGUCAUUUUCCAAAUCAGGCCUUCAUGGAUCCUUUUGAAGAUUAUUCCUUUGACUUGUAUGGUCUGAUGCUGAGUGAAAUGAGCAGAACCAGAACGUUGUACACAGUAACAGUGACAUUGUGU
Phascolarctos cinereus (koala) is the source of this 852-nucleotide long non-coding RNA. RefSeq lists it as uncharacterized. NCBI's taxonomy places the organism in Eukaryota, Metazoa, Chordata, Mammalia, Diprotodontia, Phascolarctidae. The record is from RefSeq and is a predicted model, not a curated record.